This is a long non-coding RNA of Capsicum annuum, 5384 nucleotides long. RefSeq lists it as uncharacterized. The record is from RefSeq and is a predicted model, not a curated record. The transcript has 5 exons. Lineage: Eukaryota; Viridiplantae; Streptophyta; Magnoliopsida; Solanales; Solanaceae.
GAAAAAAUCAUCUAUUACAUUUCUUAUUAAUUCCCUCCAUAAUAUUUUACAUUAGUCGGCCAAAACAAAAUAUUUUUCUCUUUCUUCAUAGAAAAUAUCAAAAACCCAAUGCCAUUUCUCAUGUCAAUCCAAACUUCGAUUUUUCUUUCGAGAAGCAGAGAACCAAGCAUCGAAAACCCAAUACCAAACCCAUUUCUUAGAUUAAUCACGACAUUGAAAACCCAUUUCUCAGGUGAAUUCGAGCUUCGAUUUCUUUCAAGAAUCAGAGAACCAAGCCCUAAACUAGUACAGUGUAGUUGUCCGCUAACAGCAUGGAACACCGAAAAUCCUUGAAGCCAGUGCAGUUGUCCGGUAACUCCUUUAUUCUAUCAAGACACAGAUCCACAAUCUCACAAUCCGUCAUUUCUUAGUUAGUCCAAGCUUCAGAGUAAAUGAUGAUACCGGUCGUUCUAGAGCAGAGGAAGACACAAUUUCAUGUUCGUAGAUUGGAGUUUCAAGCACAAUUGAAAAGGGUAAACUCUAUGACAUACAAUAUUUCGUAAUCAAGAGUUUUAACCAUUAAAAUAUCCAAGUAUCGGUAGACAAAGGGAUUUGGGCUACUCAAGCCACGUAUGAGGACAUUUUGGAUGAAGAAUUUCAUAAUUCCAGCAAGGUGAUACUAAUAUUCAGUGUCAAUAUGAGUGGUUACUUUCAAGGGUACGCCCAAAUGACUUCUCCUGUUGGUUUGAGAAGAGGCCAAGUUUGGAGUCAAGGAAAUGGUGGACGUAAUACUUGGGGUCGAAACUUUGAUGUGAAUUGGCUGCGAUUUUCUGAUUUGCCUUUCCAAAGAACUCUUCACCUUAAGAACCCAUGGAAUCAAUACAAACCAGUCAAAAUUAGUAGAGAUUGUUAGGCAUGGAUUAUAUUCUUGUCUUAGUACUCUUCACUUAUUUUUUUUCCAUAUAAUCUUGUUAGUAAAGAGGCUUUUAUGACCCUGGAACAUGUACUACUGUCAGGAGUUACCUCCAGAUAUUGGUAAAGCUUUAUGUGAGCUCCUUGAUGGACAGGAUGCUUUGGAUGUUAAUUUGAAAAUUUAUAGACCUUCCCCCAAAACUUGAAAUAGUAAUCCCGUUCCGUUAUUUAGAAACAUAGAGCCUUUUCUCAUAUUUCUGCUAGAGUAGUGGAAAAAUUGGCGCAAAUGAGUUUUCUCUUUAUAAUUGUUAUUGCCUCAUCCAGGGAUAUAUUUGCAAGGAAUGAUCUCUCUUCUGAAAGGCCAUAUGUAGAGCCUUCACUGGAUCUUGGAUAUGAAGACUGUAAUGCAUCUCUGAUACCUAAUGGUUCAAUGGCUUAUCCCUCUUUACUUUACCAACAUCAAGUUAAUGCUAGUAGACUCCAGCUAGGAACCUCAGGGAAUGAAUGGUGUAUUUUCUACCGAGGAGUCAGCCAUUGCAUCAGGGGAAUCAAAGUCGAGACAGUCGAGGCACUUACAAAGAAAUGAAAUCCUUGCUAAUCUUCAUAUAGACAUGGAUGUGGGUCCUCAAACGAACAUGUGGGUUUGUCAGCAGAAAGGAGCCCUCUUGCCAGUAAUUUGACUGAAGAUGACAUUCUUGAAAUGUUUUGUAUUUCUUCUCAUACCAUUAUUUAUUUGUUUAUUGAUGAAGUUCUCGUCUUACCUUUAUUUUAAUUAUUGAUGCACAUAGGUUUAAAAAGAUUCUUGUAUUUGCCAAGAAGAUGAAACUCUUUUGUACUUCCUUAAAGUUUGCUGAUGAUUUCAGCCAAGUGUGCUUCAUCUCUCUGUAGUUUGUAAUUGGCUAUUUGAUAUCUAGCAUCCUCCUUUUCUUUGAAUGGAUGCAGAGCUGUAUUUUGUGUGCUAUACAACAUUGGUCUUCUAUUGUAUACGACAUAUGUAAGAAAACUGCUGAAUUCAGUAACUUUUAACUUAAAAGGACUCCAUCAAUUUCCUGAUAUUGGACUGCAGGUCAUCUGAUUAUUUCUGUGGUAGAACUUUCAAUUCUCUCUUUGUAUCAUAAGAUUCACUUAUGUGAACUUGCAAUUCCUUUUAACAAAUGCGUAGUUGUGAACCAAGUACCAUUUAUUAUGUAAAUUUAAGCAUCCGUAAGUAUAGGUUGUUUGUGUAUAGCAUACUUCAUAGCAAAGUGGUUUAUUAGAUUUAAUUUAUAUAAUUUUGCAAAUUUUAGCUGGGGGUCUUUCAGAAACAACCUCUCUACCUUCGCAAGGUAGGGUUACGGUCUUCGUACAUUACCCUCCUUAGGCUCCACCUUGUUCCCUAUACUGGUUAUGUCAUUGUUGUUUUAAUUUCCCAAAUUUACAUGGAAUCCUCUUCGCCUUGUUCCUUCAUACUACAGUUGUUAAUGCUACCAACUAUUGAUUUUCUAGUUUGUCUUUUUUAUUGUGUGUAAACCAGGGAACGAUUCUUUUUAUGCCGAAUGACCCUACACUAACGACAAAGCUUAAUGUGGAGUUCAAGUUGAUUAAAGGCCACAAGUUUUCCAAGGAGGGUUCAAGUAAGCAGGCUCUACUUAAUCUUACGCAAGAUUAGGUUUGGAUUUAUGAUUACCAAAACAUUCUACUUGGGAGCCCCUUUAUUAUGAGAGCGUGACUAUUUUCUUUCUGUGUCUGGUCGAGUCUAGAAACAAUAUACUAAUCCAAGUACUGGUGAAGUCUACAAACUGCUAACUUAUCUGAGUACUGCAACUAAAGGUGUUCCGUUUUCUCUCAUUAUUAGGGUGGAAAUUAUCUUUUCGAGUUUGACAGGGAAGAUAGGUUCCUUGACCGUGACCAGUGUCAGGACUUUGUUGUUUAGUCUUUAUGACAUUCAUUAACUCAUCCAUCAGCUUCAUUACUCAGUUACAAGUGCACCAUUCUACUUCAAAUAUGUGAAAACUUAAAAUAUACUGAACUUUAUUACAUUUACGUGUCUUGUUGUUGAUUUCUUCUUGUGGUGUGUGAUCAAACCCGUUUGUUCUUUGUUUCUGUGUACUAGCUGUGUGAUGUUGUACUUGAUUAUUCUGAAUAGUUAGUCAUUAAUAACAAACAAUCAAACAUGUUGGCAUUCGUAUAAGUAAGAUUUCGAGUUUGUUCAUUUACCUAUUUUUAUUGAUGGAUUUUCCUUUUGGGCCAGAAAUAUUGAAUUGGAACUCAGUGAAGUCGCUGGUCUUUUAGUAGAUUUUUGUUUAAAGGAGAAGACAAGACAAUAUAUAAAAUGGUGGGGAAGGGCUGAGACCAGCCUUCUCGUGGUAUUGAGUAUUGAGUAACCCUUUCCUCUAUGAUUCCCUUGCUCCUGCGUGCAAGCGUGGUUGGCUUGGUGCUGAACUUGAGCUAAGAUAUUGCAGCCUAAAUGAUCCAUUCCACAUGUAUAUAAUUGAAAUAAAUUAUUUCAAGUUCAGUUGGAUUUUUCGGAAAUUUUAUGAGUCAAGCCUUGGUUUUCUGCCUAGUGAUUUUUGUCGCCCAACUUGCAUUGCUGUCUAUAGGUUAAGAUAGCAAAAUCAGAGAGUAGCCUCUUAAGAAGGCUUUAAGAUUUUUUUCGGUGUUUUAUAUUGCUAGUUCAACACCGGCUAGCUCGUUAAAGAGUAUGCAGUUACUAUAUGAUAUCUUGCAUUAGACAUUCCAAGUUGAUAGUUUAACAUUAUAGGUUUUAUUACAAAUUUGUUUACCCUUGAAUAACCUUAGCAAUUGCAGCUUGUGGGGAAGUGGGGAAAGCUACUUCUAAAAAACUUGUUGUUUCGCAUGAUGAGCAACACAACAGAAAUAGGGUGUUGGAUUAAGUUACUGCAGGAGAACAGGCGACUGGAACUUUUUUCUGGUUCAAUUUUGCAGAAGGCGGGGGCCUUUUCUGGAUCGCUUUUUGUUGUACUAGUAAUUUUGUAAAUGUGUCUUAUAACUGUAACGAGUUUAUCUGAAAUCUCCAGUUAUUGUUGCUAAUUUUCUUUCCUAAAUUGGCAUUUCAUCUUCUCCUUUUCAUUUCUUGUCUUGUUGAUAUCACUAACAAGUGUAAGUGGUGGCAGUGAGUUGCAGAAACUCCACAGGCAAUUGGUCAUUGGAGGUAUUCUAUCAUAGGCUGAAUUUUGGGCCUCUAGGAAGAAAUUGCUGGAGCAGACUGAAAACAAGAAGCCAAAACAGCGGGUAGCUUUUAAAAAUGACAUGUGGAGUGUAAAACCAAUAUCCGAUAGUCAGGUAAGAGGGAAAUUUUCUCCCCAUUUGUGACCAUACUUGCGUGUUUAGAUGGGUUACUUUUUCUCUGAUAGGAUGCUGUUUUUACUUUUCCAAUAUAUAUCUAAGCCAUUGUGAUUUUCUUGAAUUCUAAUCAGAUCAUAUCAAAAUCUUCAGUUUUUUGAUAAAAUUAUGGAACCUGCGCAUGUUGAUUUUUCUAGGUUCAUUCCUUGUAGCUUUUAGUGCUCUCUGUUUUUCUUAAAUUGCUCUUUACUCAACUUGAUUGUCCUGAGCCAUUAUCCCUCUCACCCUGCUAAGCUAGAGAUGUAUUUUGAAGCCACAGAUUGUCCCGAGUCUGGUUAUUGUUUCUUGACUGGUUGUAGAGCCUUUGUCUGAAGCUGGUACAGCUUGAAUUUCCAAUUGUGUGACUGCCUGCAUUACAAUUUAUAAGUGUAAUUGUAAAUUGUGUGACUGCCUGCAUCAACUCUGAUUUCGCGUGAGACAACUAGUCUAGCUAAAAUUAAGCAAGCAAAAAAUAGAGUAACAUUUACCAGACAAAGCUACAAGGUCAACAAGAUCAAGUCCUUGUCUCUUGAACCUUGAGAGAAUGGCAGCAAAUGUGUUGUUUGGAGCCGGAAUAUUGUUGUUGGAGACACUUAAACUGGCACUUCUGGAGUCCUUUCUUCCCAAUGGAACCUCCCAGUUUGGUCCACCAGUCUAUAUGAACGAAAAAGGUAAGCUCUUGUUUUGUUUUUUCAUAAAGAGGUAGUCUGAUCAAAUUAUAUAUGUUUCAGUACUUACCGAAACAGUGGAGUCCCUUGCAGCAAGUGCCAAGAUAUCAGCACAAGAGACAGUUUGAGGGCAUUCCUUCUCCAGUGCAGAUUUAAUGUCAUCAAUGACAUCAAAUCCACGAGAUGAAUUCCUAUUGGCAUUUGAUCCUUUUUCUGAUACUAUACCUCUGCUAUUAUCCAGAUGCAAAGAUGCAUCACAUCCCUACAUGACAAUAGCUAGCCAUCAGUUCACACACUUUUGUCAGCACAAACACAUUCUGAAGCGUCAUUUGUUUUAGGUUGACCGCAUCUGCUGUUCAGAAUGAGUAAAAGCAGUAGGUAGGAAGAUUACUUCACUGUGCUUAUGAGUAAGUGUUCUUUGUUGUCCAUGAGGAGUGUUUGGACCCCAAACGUUGUUUUGUAUGCAGAUAGUAUUUAUUUAUACUUUCUAAUUUGUGAUGUGUA